ACAUGUUCUUUGCAUGCGUUACUGGAUGACAAAGAGGACAUUUGAAAAUGAAAAAUCAGAUCUCUGUAACAAACCAUUUCUCAACCUGACUUCUUCAUAUUUCUUUAACUUUGUGAUUAUAUUUAGGGAACUCUAUUUCAGAAAAUCAGUCUCAAGAAAAGCUUGGAUACAAUGGAAACAAAGAGGCUUCAUGUUUUAUUUGGAUUCUUGAUACCAUCAAGCUCAGAAAUAGAUUAUUUUUUUUAAUUGUUUCAGCUUCACAUUACCAACGUUGGUUUCUUCUUUCAGAGUUUUUCUUUCCCUACCCAGAACAACUUUUAACUUCUUAAAGCACCCUACCUGGACGGAAUGGAGAACAGACUCCGAGGCCAGCCCAGUGCGGGAGACAAGUUAUGGCUGGGGCCGGAGUGGGAGCAGAGUGAAUGAGGACCGAGUCCCAGAAGUAAGUCACAGCCGGAGCAGCAGCAGAACAAGCGCGGGCCGAGCUGGGAGCCGGAGCGGGAGCAGAUCAAGCCCAGGCCGACCGGGGAGGGAGAUUGAGUCCUGGAUAGAGGCUAAAGCGUGGAGGCAGCGCGGCCUUGUGUUCUGAAGCCUGGCAAAGCGCAGACUCAGUGAAAAAGGACUUUAACCUUUUAUUCUCAUUCUGGACUUUUUAAACUCUGCAUUUCCAUGCUAGUCUAAUUUUUUCAUCGUUUCAAUUCUGUGACAACACUUAAAAGUACCUGUACCUAGGUACUCGGUACCUAAGAUAGUGCCAAGAGGUGACAUUACAAACUUUUCACUCAUCCGAGUGCAUGUGGGAAUAAAGGAUAUUCUAAAAUAAUGGUGCUGAUACCCUGAAAAGAAA
Rhincodon typus (whale shark) is the source of this 847-nucleotide long non-coding RNA. RefSeq lists it as uncharacterized. Lineage: Eukaryota; Metazoa; Chordata; Chondrichthyes; Orectolobiformes; Rhincodontidae. The transcript has 2 exons. The record is from RefSeq and is a predicted model, not a curated record.